UCCUGGAUGAGGAUUUGCUUGGUGACGUUUUCGUUUCUUGGACGUGGGAGUGGCCGUGUUGUGUCCUCACUGUAGAAACGUGGACGUCUGUCCCGCUUAUCUCACAAAUUCUGCUCGGCCAGAGGCGAAGCGGAGCAGCACAUUGAUCCGGGCCUUUCAUCAGGCCUCCUCCUCACCUUAGACGGCUUUGUGGGGGCUCCUGAAGGACCGCGGCGCCCUCGUCGGGCUAACGUUCGCAGAUUAGGACGCCGAUAACCUGCCUGACCCUGAUAGGUAGGGAAGUAAAGCUGGAGCCAUCUAAUUAGCAACGAUCAAAGCGAUGACUUUAUCCCCAAAACAAACCUGCACAACGGAAUGUGGCGCGGUGAGGAUGUGGGGGGGG
RNAcentral lists this long non-coding RNA (382 nucleotides) under Takifugu rubripes (torafugu). Its description in RNAcentral is "lncRNA (ENSTRUG00000026553.1)". Lineage: Eukaryota; Metazoa; Chordata; Actinopteri; Tetraodontiformes; Tetraodontidae. The record is from RNAcentral.